Molecule: ribosomal RNA, 1214 nt
Filed under: metagenome
Description: bacterial SSU rRNA
Rfam family: Bacterial small subunit ribosomal RNA
Source: RNAcentral
GUGUUGUUGAGUGGCGCACGGGUGAGUAACACGUGAAUCACAUGCCCUUCAGAGGGGGAUAGCCCAGGGAAACUUGGAUUAAUACCCCAUGGUCUCGCAAGAGUAAAGGCGGCCCUAUGAAAGUAGGGCUGUCGCUGGAGGAUUGGUUCGCGCCCUAUCAGCUUGUUGGCGGGGUAACGGCCCACCAAGGCUACGACGGGUACCUGGUCUGAGAGGACGAUCAGGCACACUGGAACUGAGACACGGUCCAGACACCUACGGGUGGCAGCAGUCGAGAAUAAUUCACAAUGGGGGCAACCCUGAUGGUGCAACGCCGCGUGGAGGAUGACGGUCUUCGGAUUGUAAACUCCUGUCAUCCGGGAGUAAGACCCGGUCGUGAAUAACGGCCGGGGUUGAUAGUACCGGAAGAGGAAGGGACGGCUAACUUCGUGCCAGCAGCCGCGGUAAUACGAAGGUCCCGAGCGUUGUUCGGAAUCACUGGGCGUAAAGGGAGCGUAGGCGGCGCGGUAAGUCAGAUGUGAAAUCCCGGGGCUCAACCCCGGAACCGCAUCCGAUACUGCCGUGCUCAGAGGAUUGGAGAGGUAGCUGGAAUUCUUGGUGUAGCAGUGAAAUGCGUGGAUAUCAAGAGGAACACUCGUGGCGAAAGCGAGCUACUGGACAACUCCUGACGCUGAGGCUCGAAGGCCAGGGUAGCGAAAGGGAUUAGAUACCCCUGUAGUCCUGGCAGUAAACGGUGCACGCUUGGUGUGAGGGGAAUCGACCCCCCUCGUGCCGGAGCCAACGCGUUAAGCGUGCCGCCUGGGAAGUACGGUCGCAAGACUAAAACUCAAAGAAAUUGACGGGGACCCGCACAAGCGGUGGAGUAUGUGGCUCAAUUCGAUGCAACGCGAAGAACCUUACCAAGGCUUGACAUGGAUUUCUAAGCGCGUGAAAGCGCGUGACCCUUCGGGGGACUUCCACGGGUGCUGCAUGGCCGUCGUCAGCUCGUGUCGUGAGAUGUUGGGUUAAGUCCCGCAACGAGCGCAACCCUUGUGACUAGUUGCCAGCGCGUAAUGGCGGGAACUCUAGUCAGACUGCCCAGAUCAACUGGGAGGAAGGUGGGGACGACGUCAGGUCAGUAUGGCCCUUACGCCUUGGGCUGCACACGUACUACAAUGCCCAGCACAAUGAGAACCGAUGCCGCGAGGCGGAGGAAAUCUAUAAAACUGGGCCCA